CCUUCCAAUCCACGGGGCGGCAUCCAGCAAGCCUUUGUUUUCUAUAACAAAUCCACAUUUUGACCUCGGAUCAGGUAGGGAUACCCGCUGAACUUAAGCAUAUCAAUAAGCGGAGGAAAAGAAACCAACAGGGAUUGCCCUAGUAACGGCGAGUGAAGCGGCAACAGCUCAAAUUUGAAAUCUGGCUCUUUCAGAGUCCGAGUUGUAAUUUGCAGAGGGCGCUUUGGCUUUGGCAGCGGUCCAAGUUCCUUGGAACAGGACGUCACAGAGGGUGAGAAUCCCGUACGUGGUCGCUAGCUAUUGCCGUGUAAAGCCCCUUCGACGAGUCGAGUUGUUUGGGAAUGCAGCUCUAAAUGGGAGGUAAAUUUCUUCUAAAGCUAAAUAUUGGCCAGAGACCGAUAGCGCACAAGUAGAGUGAUCGAAAGAUGAAAAGCACUUUGGAAAGAGAGUCAAACAGCACGUGAAAUUGUUGAAAGGGAAGCGCUUGCAGCCAGACUUGCUUGCAGUUGCUCAUCCGGGCUUUUGCCCGGUGCACUCUUCUGCAGGCAGGCCAGCAUCAGUUUGGGCGGUGGGAUAAAGGUCUCUGUCAUGUACCUCUCUUCGGGGAGGCCUUAUAGGGGAGGCGACAUACCACCAGCCUAGACUGAGGUCCGCGCAUCUGCUAGGAUGCUGGCGUAAUGGCUGUAAGCGGCCCGUCUUGAAACACGGACCAAGGAGUCUAACAUCUAUGCGAGUGUUUGGGUGUCAAGCCCGAGCGCGUAAUGAAAGUGAACGGAGGUGGGAACCCGCAAGGGUGCACCAUCGACCGAUCCUGAAGUUUACGGAAGGAUUUGAGUAAGAGCAUGGCUGUUGGGACCCGAAAGAUGGUGAACUAUGCUUGAAUAGGGUGAAGCCAGAGGAAACUCUGGUGGAGGCUCGCAGCGGUUCUGACGUGCAAAUCGAUCGUCAAAUUUGGGCAUAGGGGCGAAAGACUAAUCGAACUAUCUAGUAGCUGGUUCCUGCCGAAGUUUCCCUCAGGAUAGCAGUAACGUAUUCAGUUUUAUGAGGUAAAGCGAAUGAUU
This 1061-nucleotide ribosomal RNA is filed under the name Exserohilum rostratum. RNAcentral's name for it is "partial 28S ribosomal RNA". It matches the Rfam family "Eukaryotic large subunit ribosomal RNA", at positions 1 to 1022 of the family's 3401-position model. The record is from RNAcentral. Lineage: Eukaryota; Fungi; Ascomycota; Dothideomycetes; Pleosporales; Pleosporaceae.